AUAGCCAUAUUUUGAUAAAAAAAUAUAUAUUAAAAAUAAAAUAACCAAUGUUUUGGUUAUU
Molecule: transfer RNA, 61 nt
Filed under: Ulva gigantea
Lineage: Eukaryota; Viridiplantae; Chlorophyta; Ulvophyceae; Ulvales; Ulvaceae
Description: tRNA-Leu
Source: RNAcentral